ACGAACGCUGGCGGCGUGCUUCACCCCUGCCAGUCGAACGGAAAGGCCCUGCUUUUGUGGGGUGCUCGAGUGGCGAACGGGUGAGUAACACGUGAGUAACCUGCCCCUGACUUUGGGAUAACUUCAGGAAACUGGGGCUAAUACCGGAUAGGAGCUCCUGCUGCAUGGUGGGGGUUGGAAAGUUUCGGCGGUUGGGGAUGGACUCGCGGCUUAUCAGCUUGUUGGUGGGGUAGUGGCUUACCAAGGCUUUGACGGGUAGCCGGCCUGAGAGGGUGACCGGCCACAUUGGGACUGAGAUACGGCCCAGACUCCUACGGGAGGCAGCAGUGGGGAAUAUUGCACAAUGGGCGGAAGCCUGAUGCAGCAACGCCGCGUGCGGGAUGACGGCCUUCGGGUUGUAAACCGCUUUCGCCUGUGACGAAGCGUGAGUGACGGUAAUGGGUAAAGAAGCACCGGCUAACUACGUG
Molecule: ribosomal RNA, 467 nt
Filed under: uncultured bacterium
Lineage: Bacteria
Description: partial 16S ribosomal RNA
Rfam family: Bacterial small subunit ribosomal RNA
Source: RNAcentral